This 597-nucleotide long non-coding RNA is filed under the name Brassica napus (rape). RNAcentral describes it as "long non-coding RNA (BNAP_LNC018480)". Lineage: Eukaryota; Viridiplantae; Streptophyta; Magnoliopsida; Brassicales; Brassicaceae. The record is from RNAcentral.
UGGGUGUUUAGGCAGCUGGACGAGUGUUGGUGUGAUAUUUAUUCCACUUCCUGGUGAUUCUCCACUACUUUAAGUAUCAAAAUCAAGCUUUUUACAUGGCGAUUCUUCCUGUUUUGAUUAGAAUGACAAAGAAGUCGUCAUAGGUAGUCAGUUCACUAAGUUCUAUUCAGCUCACUGGAGCUGGUAGACUAGCUCACUCAGCUGGGAACAGCUGGAGACCAGCUCAAUCCGGUGAACGGUGCAUUUUGGUUCGGAUCAGUGUGGACGAGUCGGGGACGGUUAUUGGGCGAGCCGAUGGUCCGGGUAUGGGACGGUUCGACCAAAUUGGUCUUUGACUUGGGACAGGGAGUGGACAAGUUCCCAGAGUGUGAGCUGAGGCUCAGUGACCGAAUUUUCAAAGGAAGAAAGGGGGAGAAACCGCCAAUGGGCGGUUAUGGGGCGGUUAUGGGGCGGUUUUGGGAAGAAGGAAUCUGAUCCUUGGUAACUGCCACCCCAGGCGGUUGGGGGCAGUUUAAACUCGGUCCCUCUCUCUCUUUCCUGCCAUUCUGGUCGAUUUAUUUCAUCUGGAGACAGAGAGAAACACAGAGAAAACUCAGG